RNAcentral lists this non-coding RNA (229 nucleotides) under Massilia sp. Lineage: Bacteria; Pseudomonadati; Pseudomonadota; Betaproteobacteria; Burkholderiales; Oxalobacteraceae. The record is from RNAcentral.
GUAUAAUCCGCACCGUCUGGUGCCCGCGCGUGCGUUCGGCACGCGCAGUUAAACGGGAAACACAUGGCGGACGAUUCCGUGUCCGCCAGGGUGUGCUGCCCCCGCAACGGUAAGCAAGCGCCGUCUUCGACGGCAGGCCGGUCCUCGAACCACUGUGCGCAGCCGCGCAUGGGAAGGUGGGCCGGUCCGCCUUGCCAGCCCGGAUACCGGCCAGACAGGUGGCGGACCU